GGGAGAGCUAGGCUGGCGCGCUUGUCCUGCGUUGUUACUGUGAACGGACAUUACACAGAGCCGAAGCCCAAUUAAGGGCCGAUUUUGUUUUGUUGGUCCCUGUUAUCUUUGCUGACGGCUUGUCCUUUGGGAUGGGCGUGCUGGGAAUUUGGUCAGAUCAGGAAUGAAGCAGCCAUAACCUUUACGUUCCAUGUUCAGAGGGUUGCAAGUCCGAGAAGUUUCAGGGAGUCAAUCAACGAGGCUUAGUUGGUUCGACUGCGGGUGUGCCCC
Molecule: signal recognition particle RNA, 270 nt
Filed under: Candidatus Woesearchaeota archaeon
Lineage: Archaea; Nanobdellati; Candidatus Woesearchaeota
Description: signal recognition particle sRNA
Rfam family: Archaeal signal recognition particle RNA
Source: RNAcentral